RNAcentral lists this ribosomal RNA (599 nucleotides) under uncultured Planctomyces sp. RNAcentral's name for it is "bacterial SSU rRNA". It matches the Rfam family "Bacterial small subunit ribosomal RNA", at positions 82 to 675 of the family's 1533-position model. Lineage: Bacteria; Pseudomonadati; Planctomycetota; Planctomycetia; Planctomycetales; Planctomycetaceae. The record is from RNAcentral.
CGGGAAGUGGAAAGUGGCAAACGGGGUAGUAAGGCGUAGGUGACGUACCCUCAAGUCCGGGAUAGCCACGGGAAACCGUGAUUAAUACCGGAUAAUCUCUCAGAGUAUGGUGCUUUGAGAGCAAAGGUGUGAUUCCGCUGGAGGAGCGGCUUACGUGAUAUUAGGUAGUUGGUGAGGUAACGGCUCACCAAGCCUCAGAUGUCUAGGGGGUGUGAGAGCAUGGCCCCCACCACUGGGACUGAGACACUGCCCAGACACCUACGGGUGGCUGCAGUCGAGAAUCUUCGGCAAUGGACGCAAGUCUGACCGAGCGACGCCGCGUGCGGGAUGAAGGCCCUUGGGUUGUAAACCGCUGUCAGAGGGGAUGAAAUGCGAGAGGGCUAUCCCUCUCGUUUGACAGAGCCUCAGAGGAAGCACGGGCUAAGUACGUGCCAGCAGCCGCGGUAACACGUACUGUGCGAACGUUAUUCGGAAUCACUGGGCUUAAAGGGUGCGUAGGCGGUUUAGUAAGUAGGGUGUGAAAUGCCAGAGCUCAACUUUGGCACGGCGCUCUAAACUGCUAAACUUGAGUGAGAUAGGGGUGUACGGAACUUCCGGUG